RNAcentral lists this ribosomal RNA (54 nucleotides) under Huntiella tribiliformis. Its description in RNAcentral is "partial 26S ribosomal RNA". The record is from RNAcentral. Lineage: Eukaryota; Fungi; Ascomycota; Sordariomycetes; Microascales; Ceratocystidaceae.
UAGGUUGACCUCGGAUCAGGUAGGAAUACCCGCUGAACUUAAGCAUAUCAAUAA